This 447-nucleotide ribosomal RNA is filed under the name uncultured bacterium. Its description in RNAcentral is "bacterial SSU rRNA". It matches the Rfam family "Bacterial small subunit ribosomal RNA", at positions 329 to 792 of the family's 1533-position model. The record is from RNAcentral.
CGCCAGACUCCUACGGGAGGCAGCAGUGGGGAAUAUUGCACAAUGGGGGAAACCCUGAUGCAGCGACGCCGCGUGAGCGAAGAAGUAUUUCGGUAUGUAAAGCCCUAUCGGCAGGGAAGAAGGAGGACGGUACCUGACUAAGAAGCCCCGACUAACUACGUGCCAGCAGCCGCGGUAAUACGUAGGGGGCAAGCGUUAUCCGGAUUUACUGGGUGUAAAGGGGGCGCAGACGGCAGCGCAAGCCAGGAGUGAAAGCCCGGGGCCCAACCCCGGGACUGCUCUUGGAACUGCGCGGCUGGAGUGCAGGAGGGGCAGGCGGAAUUCCUGGUGUAGCGGUGAAAUGCGUAGAUAUCAGGAGGAACACCGGUGGCGAAGGCGGCCUGCUGGAUUGCAACUGACGUUGAGGCCCGAAAGCGUGGGGAGCAAACAGGAUUAGAUACCCUCGUA